GCAAAGGCCAUGAACGGGAGGAGUAGCCCUGUUUCCCCGGCCAAGAGAGAGGGCGGUUCGGUGCGAGCCCUCCCGGGGGACGGAGGGGAAGGCGCCCGGGAGCCGCGGGGCGGAAAUGCUUCGCCGUUCACCCGACGUUACCGGGCAGAGCGUCCCCCUCCCCGGGGGAAAUUCAGGUGGAACCACGGACGCAAGUUCGCCCUGAGC
Molecule: non-coding RNA, 207 nt
Filed under: Oscillibacter sp.
Lineage: Bacteria; Bacillati; Bacillota; Clostridia; Eubacteriales; Oscillospiraceae
Description: T-box sequence
Rfam family: T-box leader
About the family: Uncharged tRNA acts as the effector for transcription antitermination of genes in the T-box leader family. T-boxes are found upstream of many aminoacyl-tRNA synthetase genes and some amino acid biosynthetic genes usually in Gram-positive bacteria. The anticodon of a specific tRNA base pairs to a specifier sequence within the T-box motif, and the NCCA acceptor tail of the tRNA base pairs to a conserved bulge in the T-box antiterminator hairpin.
Source: RNAcentral